CUUCCAUCUGCCCUGAAUUACUUCCAUUGCUGACCUGCGAGCCGGUCACCGAAGGGUUGGGCUCCCGGGCUGUGCCCAGGAGCUGUCCGUGGCCCUGGGCAUUCAGCUCGCCGAUCGCCUCCAUGGUCAGCUGCGCGUUCAUCGUGAUGCGGGCGAGCGGGCUGCAACAUCGAUGUGGCCGGGCAGAGGCGGCGAGGGGCGCACGGAGUCCAGUCUUCACAUCGGCAGCCGCCGGCGACUGUGGCCUUUCUUCCUCUUACGAGUUCCCAGCACAAAGCUUGGCUCCCUUAGGUAUACUCCAAGGGAAGAGAGAAUUAGAGUCUGUGGAAGAAUUCCUUGAAACUGGAGAGGUAAGUGUGUGAGGUGGAGGGAAGGGUUAUAUUUAACAGCUUUGGUUCUAAGCAACUGCAGGAUAAUUAAAGAAAAAAAUGUCAAAAAUUGUAUUAAAAUACGUGUUUAAAAAACAGGGGUGAAAGUCUCGACUAGAUGCUCGUUACAGUAUUUUCGUAUUGGAAACCAGCUUUUGUGCUUCUGGGGACUGAACCUAGGGCCUUGAGCUAGGUAAAGACUCUAUUAUUGAUGUUUAUUUUGUAAAUGUCUCAAGUGUCUGGGAGUGGGUGGGUAAAUGAAAUGUGUCCUCUGCUAAAUAGGCUUCAGUUUGUGAGGAAACAUCAUCAGACUUGGGGAAAAGGCCAUUCUUGUAAAUACUGGCCACACAAGGUUCUCUGAGAAUGGUCCAUGUGAUUCAGAGUCAAUGGCUUAGUUUUCUUUGUGAGCAGUAGAGAUGUAACAUAUGGACCAUUCAAAAGAAAUGUUUCUCGGCUCUCUGGGCCAUCAGGUGCUCUGUUCCUGUUUGGUAUCUGGCAGUCCUGGGGUUCAGCAAAUGUCCCUACCUAGGACUUCAGGGUGAGAGACCCUUAGCCUCAGCUUCUGAAGCCCUCUAGCCUUUCUGAAGCGUGCAGGGGCUAGCAUGAAACUCCCGGGGAGGGACAUGUGGGUGGCAUCCGGCUACAGCAGAACCCUUGAUAAAUGGGGUGAAGGAUUUGAUUCUAGAUGCUUCCAACAGGGUUCUACUGUCUUCCUCUGGAGUCUUUCCUUUUCUGGAGAAAAUUUAUUCCGAAAAUUGCUGUUGGCGCUUAGAAUAGACAAGAAUUUUAGAACAGGUGGUCUGAUGGUGCAUUAUUGAAAAAAAAUUUAAAACAACAAAUUAAUUCCCAGUUCCAGUGACACCGUUUCCCAACCCCCUCCCCUGCACAAUAGGGGGGAAAUAGUGUCUUCUCAUUCGGGUGGGGCUUCUAAUGCCCCCUUUCAAACUUUGUGCCUGUAUUUUGUGCCUAUAUAGUUUUCAUUCCUCUGUCCGGCUAACCUCCCUCCUCCUUUUCCUUCCUAAAUAUUGUUUUGCGCAUGAAAAUGAUUUUAAACCCAGUACUUUUGCACCACCCAUUCUUUCAACUCCUAUCCCCCCAUAUUCCUCAAGAAGAAGCCUGCGGAAGGGCCAUCAGCUGCCCCUGACCCCCACCUAACAUGGUGUUCCAGGAACUGCUUGGAGCCGCCUCGGUGGCGGUGGGAGAACUGACCACGUGGAGAGCAUCUCUGGUUACUUCCUGGGCAAGGAGGAAAACCACCUGCUCUCCUGGGACCCUGGGUGAACUACCAACGGAAUCUUCUGGGUUGAAACUCUUUCUGGGGGUCGCCUGCUUUGGGUGUCACAGAGGCUGUGGGACUAAGGGAGAGGCUUCUAGCUCCAGGGUGAUGGGUGCCAGAGCCCAGUGCCGGGCAAGGUUAGCCUCACUCCCGGGACGCUGGCCUUCUGUAGUCUGACCUUCAGUGGAUUUUCUCUCUUGGUUAGAAUUAUAUAUUAACGGAGAGAGGCACCCUGCCCAAGGUGGUGAGGGAGCCGGUGAGGAGCCAGUGAAUUUUCCAGAUUUGGGGCAGCGGUGAAUACUCUUUUUCUAGCCCUUGUCCUUUGGAGGUCCGCGAUGGAUUAGCAGUGGCCGUCUGGUGGUGGAGAGUGUCCAAACUGGGAAUUGAAAGGAAGGGGUGAGAGUGAGGACCCUCAUGGCGGUGCCAUUCAAAGCGACUCAAAGUAAGGAAAACGCAGAGGGGUGAACGGAGGGCCAAUUGUACUAACGAUGCUCUCUAGUACUUCUUCUCCGAAGCUGGAGAUAAUUAAAGAGCAGAAGUCACCAGUCACCACCCAGCUGAGAGUCCCAGAUGCACAGGGCUUAGACCAGCCAACCUACCCCAAGCCGGGGCCCGACGCACGCACGCCCACUUGGCGAACUCCACCGUCGCCCGGCAACGCGGCCAACGCAGGCCCAGAACAGCUGCACUUGGGAAGGAGGAAAACUCUUUAAACAAAUCAUUUUGG
Molecule: long non-coding RNA, 2371 nt
Organism: Peromyscus californicus insignis
Lineage: Eukaryota; Metazoa; Chordata; Mammalia; Rodentia; Cricetidae
Exons: 3
Source: RefSeq, a predicted model, not a curated record